AGAAAUAUGUCUGAUAAAAGAGUUACUUUGAUAGAGUAAAUCAUAGAGGCUAAAUUCCUCUUAUUUCUA
Molecule: transfer RNA, 69 nt
Filed under: Hylomys suillus (short-tailed gymnure)
Lineage: Eukaryota; Metazoa; Chordata; Mammalia; Eulipotyphla; Erinaceidae
Also listed under: 2 other names
Description: transfer RNA-Ile
Source: RNAcentral